Molecule: ribosomal RNA, 515 nt
Filed under: uncultured bacterium
Lineage: Bacteria
Description: bacterial SSU rRNA
Rfam family: Bacterial small subunit ribosomal RNA
Source: RNAcentral
AUGCCGCGUGCAGUGAGAAGGCCCUAUGGAUUGAAAACUGCUUUAUACAGGAAGAAACACCCCGACGUGUCGGGACUUCCCGGGACUGUACGAAUAAGGAUCGGCUAACUCCGUGCCAGCAGCCGCGGUAAUACGGAGGAUCCGGGCGUUAUCCGGAAUCAUUGGGUUUAAAGGGUCCGUAGGCGGCCUUAUAAGUCAGUGGUGAAAUCUCCCAGCUCAACUGGGAAACUGCCAUUGAUACUGUAUGGCUGGAAUUAUUAGGAAGUAACUGAAAUAUGUAGUGUAGCGGAGAAAUGCUUAGAUAUUACAUGGAAUACCGAUUGCAAAGGGAGGUUACUACUAAUAUAUUGACGCUGAUGGACGAAAGCGUGGGUAGGGAACAGGAUUAGAUACCCUGGUAAUGCACGCCGUAAACGAUGGAUACUAGCUGUUCGGACCAAUCUGAUUGGCUAUUCGAAAGGGAUAAGUAUCCCACCUGGGGAGUACGAACGCGAGUUUGAAACUCAAAGGAAUUG